AAACUUUCAACAACGGAUCUCUUGGUUCUGGCAUCGAUGAAGAACGCAGCGAAAUGCGAUAAAGUAAUGUGAAUUGCAGAAUUCAGUGAAUCAUCGAAUCUUUGAACGCACAUUGCGCCCUCUGGUAUUCCGGGGGGCAUGCCUGUUCGAGCGUCAUU
RNAcentral lists this ribosomal RNA (158 nucleotides) under Xanthoria sp. 1574(143.5). RNAcentral's name for it is "5.8S ribosomal RNA". It matches the Rfam family "5.8S ribosomal RNA". Rfam says of the family: 5.8S ribosomal RNA (5.8S rRNA) is a component of the large subunit of the eukaryotic ribosome. It is transcribed by RNA polymerase I as part of the 45S precursor that also contains 18S and 28S rRNA. Lineage: Eukaryota; Fungi; Ascomycota; Lecanoromycetes; Teloschistales; Teloschistaceae. The record is from RNAcentral.